Small nucleolar RNA from Myripristis murdjan (pinecone soldierfish), 75 nucleotides. NCBI's taxonomy places the organism in Eukaryota, Metazoa, Chordata, Actinopteri, Holocentriformes, Holocentridae. The record is from Ensembl.
CGGCUCUCAUGAUGAUCCAAUCACCAUCUUUCGGCUGAUCAUGUGAUGGACUCUUUUUUUUACCUGAGCGAGUUG